CAUCAAGGAUGAUACGAUGACAGCUCUGAUGG
Molecule: small nucleolar RNA, 32 nt
Organism: Procavia capensis (Cape rock hyrax)
Lineage: Eukaryota; Metazoa; Chordata; Mammalia; Hyracoidea; Procaviidae
Source: Ensembl